This 1313-nucleotide ribosomal RNA is filed under the name Actinobaculum sp. P2P_19 P1. RNAcentral describes it as "bacterial SSU rRNA". It matches the Rfam family "Bacterial small subunit ribosomal RNA". Lineage: Bacteria; Bacillati; Actinomycetota; Actinomycetes; Actinomycetales; Actinomycetaceae. The record is from RNAcentral. RNAcentral also lists the same sequence under 2 other names.
GACGAACGCUGGCGGCGUGCUUAACACAUGCAAGUCGAACGAGUGGCGAACGGGUGAGUAAUACGUGAGUAACCUGCCCUCUUCUUUGGGAUAAGCCUUGGAAACGGGGUCUAAUACUGGAUAUUGAAAGCGGUGGGGGAUGGGCUCGCGGCCUAUCAGCUUGUUGGUGGGGUGAUGGCCUACCAAGGCGUCGACGGGUAGCCGGCCUGAGAGGGUGACCGGCCACACUGGGACUGAGAUACGGCCCAGACUCCUACGGGAGGCAGCAGUGGGGGAUAUUGCACAAUGGGCGCAAGCCUGAUGCAGCGACGCCGCGUGGGGGAUGACGGCUUUCGGGUUGUAAACCUCUUUCGUCGGGGGACAUGAGGGUACCCGGUGAAGAAGCGCCGGCUAACUACGUGCCAGCAGCCGCGGUAAUACGUAGGGCGCGAGCGUUGUCCGGAAUUAUUGGGCGUAAAGGGCUCGUAGGCGGCUUGUCGCGUCUGCUGUGAAAAUGCGGGGCUUAACUCCGUACGUGCAGUGGGUACGGGCAGGCUAGAGUGCGGUAGGGGUGACUGGAAUUCCUGGUGUAGCGGUGGAAUGCGCAGAUAUCAGGAGGAACACCGAUGGCGAAGGCAGGUCACUGGGCUGACUGACGCUGAGGAGCGAAAGCGUGGGGAGCGAACAGGAUUAGAUACCCUGGUAGUCCAUGCUGUAAACGUUGGGAACUAGGUGUGGGGUAUUCUGCGCCGGAGCUAACGCAUUAAGUUCCCCGCCUGGGGAGUACGGCCGCAAGGCUAAAACUCAAAGGGAUUGACGGGGGCCCGCACAAGCGGCGGAGCAUGCGGAUUAAUUCGAUGCAACGCGAAGAACCUUACCAAGGCUUGACAUAUACAGGUGGUGCAUGGUUGUCGUCAGCUCGUGUCGUGAGAUGUUGGGUUAAGUCCCGCAACGAGCGCAACCCUUGUCUCGUGUUGCCAGCAGCUGGGGACUCACGGGAGACUGCCGGGGUUAACUCGGAGGAAGGUGGGGAUGACGUCAAAUCAUCAUGCCCCUUAUGUCUUGGGCUUCACGCAUGCUACAAUGGCCGGCAGAGGGUUGCGAUAUCGUGAGGUGGAGCGAAUCCCUUUCGGUCUCAGUUCGGACGGGGUCUGCAACUCGACCCCGGAAGUCGGAGUCGCUAGUAAUCGCGGAUCAGCAACGCCGCGGUGAAUACGUUCUCGGGCCUUGUACACACCGCCCGUCACGUCACGAAAGUUGGCAACACCCGAAGCUCGUGCCUAGGGAGCGGUCGAAGGUGGGGUUGGCGAUUGGGACGAAGUCGUAACAAGGUA